RNAcentral lists this unclassified non-coding RNA (601 nucleotides) under Hevea brasiliensis (rubber tree). Lineage: Eukaryota; Viridiplantae; Streptophyta; Magnoliopsida; Malpighiales; Euphorbiaceae. The record is from RNAcentral.
UGUUGCCCACUUUUGAAAGUCACCAAAUGUGGUAUACAUGAAUUGUUUAUUAUAAUGAUCAAACAAUACCUGUUUGGAGUGAAGGUUUUGUUUAUAUUUAGCGAUACCAUUAUUUUAUUUGAGAGAAUCUGUAAGACUUUGGUUUCGUAUUAAUUAGUAAUUAGUUUAAACACGUAAUUGAUGGAUAUCAGAUUGUGUGCAAUUAAUAAUAAAAGUCAUUGGUGGUAUUUCACCGACUUUGAUGGCAGAGUAGCAGGACCUUGGAGGGGGUUAGGAAGGAGGGGUAUAGCAGGGCAUUCUGCCCUGUCUUCCUUGUUGAGAGCUCAAGGGGUUUUGUAGUUAUUUAUUUAUUUUGCUUAGUGUUGUAAAUUUUAAUAUUCUGUUAUUUGAGAAAGCCCAAGGACAAUUUUAGUUGAACUUCUUAAUAAGAUACUAGGCUUAUGACUGUAGAACUGCUUUGUUUUACGCCUUUGUAAAGCAAAAGCAAUUUGACAAGGUGCGGCAUCUCCUUCUUGCUUUUUAAUUAUUUUAAGUUCAGUGCUGUAUUGGAAUAUUAACAAUAUAUAAUGGUGUUAUGCAGCUUAUAAAGCUAAAUCUACAA